This is a microRNA precursor of Pan troglodytes (chimpanzee), 52 nucleotides long. It matches the Rfam family "mir-1302 microRNA precursor family". NCBI's taxonomy places the organism in Eukaryota, Metazoa, Chordata, Mammalia, Primates, Hominidae. The record is from Rfam.
UUUUUAGUAGAAAUAUGUCCCAUGCAAUAUUUGGGACGUAUUUACACUAAAA